UACGAAGGGGGCUAGCGUUGCUCGGAAUCACUGGGCGUAAAGCGCACGUAGGCGGAUUGUUAAGUCAGGGGUGAAAUCCUGGAGCUCAACUCCAGAACUGCCUUUGAUACUGGCGAUCUCGAGUCCGGAAGAGGAGAGUGGAAUUCCUGGUGUAGCGGUGAAAUGCGCAGAUAUCAGGAAGAACACCCGUGGCUAAGGCGGCUCUCUAGUACGGUACUGACGCUGAGACGCGAAAGCGUGGGGAGCGAACAGG
RNAcentral lists this ribosomal RNA (253 nucleotides) under uncultured bacterium. RNAcentral's name for it is "partial 16S ribosomal RNA". It matches the Rfam family "Bacterial small subunit ribosomal RNA", at positions 524 to 776 of the family's 1533-position model. The record is from RNAcentral.